Molecule: ribosomal RNA, 590 nt
Filed under: uncultured bacterium
Lineage: Bacteria
Description: bacterial SSU rRNA
Rfam family: Bacterial small subunit ribosomal RNA
Source: RNAcentral
UACUCCUUCGGGAGGCAGCAGUGGGGAAUUUUGGACAAUGGGGGAAACCCUGAUCCAGCCAUCCCGCGUGUGCGAUGAAGGCCUUCGGGUUGUAAAGCACUUUUGGCAGGAAAGAAACGUCGCGGGUUAAUACCCCGCGAAACUGACGGUACCUGCAGAAUAAGCACCGGCUAACUACGUGCCAGCAGCCGCGGUAAUACGUAGGGUGCAAGCGUUAAUCGGAAUUACUGGGCGUAAAGCGUGCGCAGGCGGUUCGGAAAGAAAGAUGUGAAAUCCCAGAGCUUAACUUUGGAACUGCAUUUUUAACUACCGGGCUAGAGUGUGUCAGAGGGAGGUGGAAUUCCGCGUGUAGCAGUGAAAUGCGUAGAUAUGCGGAGGAACACCGAUGGCGAAGGCAGCCUCCUGGGAUAACACUGACGCUCAUGCACGAAAGCGUGGGGAGCAAACAGGAUUAGAUACCCUGGUAGUCCACGCCCUAAACGAUGUCAACUAGCUGUUGGGGCCUUCGGGCCUUGGUAGCGCAGCUAACGCGUGAAGUUGACCGCCUGGGGAGUACGGUCGCAAGAUUAAAACUCAAAGGAAUUGACGGA